Molecule: ribosomal RNA, 301 nt
Filed under: uncultured bacterium
Lineage: Bacteria
Description: partial 16S ribosomal RNA
Rfam family: Bacterial small subunit ribosomal RNA
Source: RNAcentral
CAGCAGCCGCGGUAAUACGGAGGGUGCGAGCGUUAAUCGGAAUUACUGGGCGUAAAGCGUACGCAGGCGGUUUGUUAAGUCAGAUGUGAAAUCCCCGAGCUUAACUCGGGAACUGCAUUUGAAACUGGCAGGCUAGAGUCUCGUAGAGGGGGGUAGAAUUCCAGGUGUAGCGGUGAAGUGCGUAGAGAUCUGGAGGAAUACCGGUGGCGAAGGCGGCCCCCUGGACAAAGACUGACGCUCAGGUGCGAAAGCGUGGGGAGCAAACAGGAUUAGAUACCCCUGUAGUCCCUGUCUCUUAUAC